CAGAAGCAGCGCACCCUACUGUUCCUUCAUCUUCCUCAGCUUUCAACUCGCCUUAACUCGUUUCCGAGUUCACUCACAUGGUCCCCUCCCUCUACGUCACCUUAUUUCCCAACGGAUUUGUCAGAAGAGUACGAAUAUUCUCUCAAAAUUGCACGAUUUCGGGUACGAAAGGACAAUUUGCUGGAUGAAUGGAACUCGUGGAUAGAUGUAAAUCGAUCCACGCCUUCCAUUUGUCCAAAAAAUUGUUCAAAAAAAAGACUCGAAGAUUUUCGGAUUUUGGGCAGAUUUUUCGAAGGCUAUAUAUAUGAGGUAAGUCUCUUUGUUAGGUUAGAGAAAAAUUAGGAAAAAUCUUCAGAAAAAUUGAGUCGAGUUUCUAGGGUUUGAAGUCGUCAUUUUCUUCAAGCCAUUUUUCUUUAGUCUGCUUCUUUUUUAGAAAAGAUAAAAAAAAACACAAUGGUUUAAGUUCGAUUUUGAUUCAAGCUUUUUUUAGUUCAUUUUCGGAGAAAAAUCGAAAGAAAAAUCAGAGACAAUUUUCGGAGUUUGGUAGUGAAAUUCCUAGUUCUCAAAGCUUUGGAUUCGUGUUCGGGUUCUCUUGUUUUUUGCUGCUACAUUGCUGAGCUCCUGAAUCGUUCUUCUUGUUAUCAUUUUUCCUCUGUAUUCCGUUUUCUACAUCAAGGUAUUUUUCUCGAUUUUGAAUCAUGUGACUUGAUUUGAAUGAUUCAUGUUCUAUAAAAAAAGAAAUAAUUUUGUGAGGUUACAUGUUUUGCACUGAUUAAGAGAAUGACCGCUAGUGUCAAUUUGUAUGCUAUGUUUAUAACUAACUUCAAAGAGAUAACAUGAGAUUUCCCCACACUCUUUCAAAUGCUAAUUUCGUGUUAGUUUGUUUGUUGAACUAGGUGUUUAAAUUUAAAUCACUUUUCGAAUCAGUUUGGUUAAGCAUGAUUUUGAAUACUGCUUGUAACUUUCUUUGUGAGUUCUGCUUUUAUUUAAGGAUUGAAAGUUGAAGUCACAAAACACACACCACUAGUUUAAUGACUAUUGGCAGCAAACCUAUCUAGAUGUUGUAGCAGUUUUGUUGUAUGUUUAGAAACUAAACUUAUUGGUCGCUUUGAUGAAGAAUGUUGGGUGGAUUUAAACUGUUCUCAUCCUCGUUCAGGACUCUACUGUUACUGAUGAAGCUUUCUCUCAAAUUCAGUCUCUUUCUGUCAAGUUUUGUGAACCUGUUUGGUUUAUUGUUCUUAAAAUGAAAUGAUAGUUUGAUAAUUUGGGAUUUAAAGAUUUUGGUUGUCAGCAUCAUGCACUUCUGAUGAACAAUAUCUUGCUUUCUCUUAGGUUAAAAUUUUUUGGAGAGGAUAGUUAAAGGAGCAUGAAGCCAAUGAAUGUAUUGAUUGAAAGUUAAGGACAUAGAACAAAGAAUUUGCCCUGGAAUAUGCUGCAUAUAAUGUUAAAGACAAGAUUAAUUUCAAGCAAUGACAAAGCUAAUAGCCAAGAAUGGUUCAUGAGCCUUGCUGUGUGUCACAUUAGUUGCAUAGCACCUUUCAUAUGUAGAUGUCGUUUUUUAGAGGUUUGGAAGUGAAUCCUUAUUCUUUGAUAAUUGUUUAAUGUGAAUGACAACAAUGCUUGCUCUUUUCUCAGUCUGUAUCUUAUUAUGUCAAGAUGUGCAGAAUUUAUUGAAGGAA
RNAcentral lists this long non-coding RNA (1679 nucleotides) under Nicotiana tabacum (common tobacco). RNAcentral's name for it is "long non-coding RNA (NTAB_LNC017756)". The record is from RNAcentral. Lineage: Eukaryota; Viridiplantae; Streptophyta; Magnoliopsida; Solanales; Solanaceae.